Molecule: long non-coding RNA, 558 nt
Organism: Sinocyclocheilus anshuiensis
Lineage: Eukaryota; Metazoa; Chordata; Actinopteri; Cypriniformes; Cyprinidae
Exons: 4
Source: RefSeq, a predicted model, not a curated record
UAAGUGAAUGAGAGAUGCAGUGUGCAGUGAACAGAACUGACUGACAGCUCCAGUGAUUCACUUUCUGCACAUCUCCUGUGUAUUUCUGGAACAGGUUCGGUGGGCGGCUGCGAUGCUGACCGUGAUCGAUGUGUUUAGGUGCGACACAGUGACCUCAACACAUGAACGAGCGUUUACACUAAACAUGUGGCGUGAUCACGUGUGUUUCUGUGCUUUCAGUGAUCUGAUCCAAUCACAAAACUGACUUUGACCUUUUCAAAGCAAUAUUUCUUGCAAGGACAGAAGGAUUGUGUGGUCUUCAUUUAUCUCAGAACAUUCAACUCAGGCUGCAAAAUCACACGCAGAAUUCGGAAAUCAAGAGAAAGCAAUAAAAAUAAGCCUCACAGUGGACACACAUCAACACAAUCACUCUUACUUCACAUUAUAAGCAGACACCGAUAUGAAGCACAUCUCAAGAAUCUAAAGCUACUAGCAUGUUCUAAGACUGAAUCAUGGUGACGUCGUGCUGGACGCUGGUGACAGUGCUGCCGAUGCUGGCCACGCUCUAUACAUACACAC